AUUGAACGCUGGCGGCAGGCCUAACACAUGCCAGUCGAACGGUAACAGGAAGCAGCUUGCUGCUUCGCUGACGAGUGGCGGACGGGUGAGAAAUGUCUGGGAAGCUGCCUGAUGGAGGGGGAUAACUACUGGAAACGGUAGCUAAUACCGCAUAAUGUCGCAAGACCAAAGAGGGGGAGCUUCGGGCCUCUUGCCAUCGGAUAUGCCCAGAUGGGAUUAGCGUGUUGGUGGGGGAACGGCUCACCAAGGCGACGAUCCCUAGCUGGUCUGAGAGGAUGAGCAGCCACACUGGAACUGAGACACGGUCCAGACUCCUACGGGAGGCAGCAGUGGGGAAUAUUGCACAAUGGGCGCAAGCCUGAUGCAGCCAUGCCGCGUGUAUGAAGAAGGCCUUCGGGUUGUAAAGUACUUUCAGCGGGGAGGAAGGGAGUAAAGUUAAUACCUUUGCUCAUUGACGUUACCCGCAGAAGAAGCACCGGCUAACUCCGUG
This 490-nucleotide ribosomal RNA is filed under the name uncultured bacterium. RNAcentral's name for it is "partial 16S ribosomal RNA". It matches the Rfam family "Bacterial small subunit ribosomal RNA", at positions 30 to 507 of the family's 1533-position model. The record is from RNAcentral.